This 440-nucleotide ribosomal RNA is filed under the name uncultured bacterium. RNAcentral's name for it is "partial 16S ribosomal RNA". It matches the Rfam family "Bacterial small subunit ribosomal RNA", at positions 339 to 795 of the family's 1533-position model. The record is from RNAcentral.
CUACGGGUGGCUCCAGUAGGGAAUAUUGCACAAUGGGCGAAAGCCUGAUGCAGCAACGCCGCGUGUGCGAUGAAGGCCUUCGGGUCGUAAAGCACUUUUCGGGAGGAUGAGAAAGGACAGUACUCCCGGAAUAAGUCUCGGCUAACUACGUGCCAGCAGCCGCGGUAACACGUAGGAGGCAAGCGUUAUCCGGAUUUACUGGGCGUAAAGCGCGUGCAGGUGGUUUGGUAAGUUGGAUGUGAAAUCUCCCGGCUCAACUGGGUGAGGUCGUUCAAAACUGCUAAACUGGAGGACGGUAGAGGAAAGUGGAAUUCCCGGUGUAGUGGUGAAAUGCGUAGAUAUCGGGAGGAACACCAGUGGCGAAAGCGACUUUCUGGACCGUUCCUGACACUCAGACGCGAAAGCUAGGGUAGCAAACGGGAUUAGAUACCCUUGUAGUC